GCCCGCGUAGUUUAAUGGCUAUGACGUCAGACUUCUAAUCUGAAGGUUGCGGGUUCGAGUCCCGCCGUGGGUA
This 73-nucleotide transfer RNA is filed under the name Fomitiporia mediterranea MF3/22. RNAcentral describes it as "tRNA-Arg (TCT) (tRNA-Arg-TCT-1-1)". It matches the Rfam family "tRNA". From Rfam's summary of the family: Transfer RNA (tRNA) molecules are approximately 80 nucleotides in length. Their secondary structure includes four short double-helical elements and three loops (D, anti-codon, and T loops). Further hydrogen bonds mediate the characteristic L-shaped molecular structure. tRNAs have two regions of fundamental functional importance: the anti-codon, which is responsible for specific mRNA codon recognition, and the 3' end, to which the tRNAs corresponding amino acid is attached (by aminoacyl-tRNA synthetases). tRNAs cope with the degeneracy of the genetic code in two manners: having more than one tRNA (with a specific anti-codon) for a particular amino acid; and 'wobble' base-pairing, i.e. permitting non-standard base-pairing at the 3rd anti-codon position. Lineage: Eukaryota; Fungi; Basidiomycota; Agaricomycetes; Hymenochaetales; Hymenochaetaceae. The record is from RNAcentral.